Long non-coding RNA from Bombina bombina (fire-bellied toad), 6794 nucleotides. RefSeq lists it as uncharacterized. The transcript is spliced from 3 exons. Lineage: Eukaryota; Metazoa; Chordata; Amphibia; Anura; Bombinatoridae. The record is from RefSeq and is a predicted model, not a curated record.
UAAUAACUAAAAGCCCGGUUUUCUUUCCCUUCUGUAUAAUGUGCAAUGUUUGUUACUUUCUACUUCAGGCCAGGUUUUCAUGAUAUCUGGACUAUAGAAUGUGAAAUAAUCCGCUGAUCAGUAAUCAUGGUUACUAACCCACCCGCUAGCUGAUUAUAUACCUUGAAAAUCUCGUCUGUUGGUGUGGUCUGAGGACUGGAGUUAAAUAACAGUGCAGUAAUAUAUCCUUGUCAAUACACAAGACUUGCCAACUCUUGCAUAUUAUGUGCCAAUGCCCCUGUAGAUGUAUUAGACAGAAUAGAUAUAAACGUACAGUAGCUCUAGGGCUUGAUGGAACUUUAGAGUUGAUAGGUAGAAAUGUGAACAAGCUAGUGUAUAUGAAUAUAUACACUGUAUAGAUGGCUAGAAGAGCUGGUAUAUAUAAAUAGAAGAUAGGUAGAGAUAAAGAUGGGUAGAAGAGCUGGUAUAUAUAAAUAGAUGAUAGGUAGAGAUAUAGAUGGUUAGAAGAGCUGGUAUAUAUAAAUAGAAGAUAGGUAGAGAUAUAGAUGGGUAGAAGAGCUGGUAUAUAUAAAUAGAUGAUAGGUAGAGAUAUAGAUGGUUAGAAGAGCUGGUAUAUAUAAAUAGAUGAUAGGUAGAGAUAUAGAUGGUUAGAAGAGCUGGUAUAUAUAAAUAGAUGAUAGGUAGAGAUAUAGAUGGUUAGAAGAGCUGGUAUAUAUAAAUAGAUGAUAGGUAGAGAUAUAGAUGGUUAGAAGAGCUGGUAUAUAUAAAUAGAUGAUAGGUAGAGAUAUAGAUGGGUAGAAGAGCUGGUAUAUAUAAAUAGAUGAUAGGUAGAGAUAUAUAGAUGGGUAGAAGAGCUGGUAUAUAUAAAUAGAUGAUAGGUAGAGAUAUAGAUGGUUAGAAGAGCUGGUAUAUAUAAAUAGAAGAUAGGUAGAGAUAUAGAUGGUUAGAAGAGCUGGUAUAUAUAAAUAGAUGAUAGGUAGAGAUAUAGAUGGUUAGAAGAGCUGGUGUAUAUAAAUAGAUGAUAGGUAGAGAUAUAGAUGGGUAGAAGAGCUGGUAUAUAUAAAUAGAUGAUAGGUAGAGAUAUAGAUGGCUAGAAGAGCUGGUAUAUAUAAAUAGAAGAUAGAGAUAUAGAUGGGUAGAAGAGCUGGGAUAUAUAAAUAGAAGAUAGGUAGAGAUAAAGAUGGCUAGAAGAGCUGGUAUAUAUAAAUAGAUGAUAGGUAGAGAUAUAGAUGGUUAGAAGAGCUGGUGUAUAUAAAUAGAUGAUAGGUAGAGAUAUAGAUGGGUAGAAGAGCUGGUAUAUAUAAAUAGAUGAUAGGUAGAGAUAUAGAUGGCUAGAAGAGCUGGUAUAUAUAAAUAGAUGAUAGGUAGAGAUAUAGAUGGCUAGAAGAGCUGGUAUAUAUAAAUAGAUGAUAGGUAGAGAUAUAGAUGGGUAGAAGAGCUGGUAUAUAUAAAUAGAUGAUAGGUAGAGAUAUAGAUGGGUAGAAGAGCUGGUAUAUAUAAAUAGAUGAUAGGUAGAGAUAAAGAUGGUUAGAAGAGCUGGGAUAUAUAAAUAGAUGAUAGGUAGAGAUAUAGAUGGGUAGAAGAGCUGGUAUAUAUAAAUAGAUGAUAGGUAGAGAUAAAGAUGGGUAGAAGAGCUGGUGUAUAUAUAAAUAGAUGAUAGGUAGAGAUAUAGAUGGGUAGAAGAGCUGGUAUAUAUAAAUAGAUGAUAGGUAGAGAUAUAGAUGGGUAGAAGAGCUGGUAUAUAUAAAUAGAAGAUAGGUAGAGAUAUAGAUGGCUAGAAGAGCUGGGAUAUAUAAAUAGAUGAUAGGUAGAGAUAUAGAUGGUUAGAAGAGCUGGUAUAUAUAAAUAGAUGAUAGGUAGAGAUAUAGAUGGUUAGAAGAGCUGGUAUAUAUAAAUAGAUGAUAGGUAGAGAUAAAGAUGGUUAGAAGAGCUGGUAUAUAUAAAUAGAUGAUAGGUAGAGAUAAUGAUGGUUAGAAGAGCUGGUAUAUAUAAAUAGAUGAUAGGUAGAGAUAUAGAUGGGUAGAAGAGCUGGUAUAUAUAAAUAGAAGAUAGGUAGAGAUAUAGAUGGGUAGAAGAGCUGGGAUAUAUAAAUAGAUGAUAGGUAGAGAUAUAGAUGGGUAGAAGAGCUGGGAUAUAUAAAUAGAUGAUAGGUAGAGAUAUAGAUGGGUAGAAGAGCUGGUAUAUAUAAAUAGAUGAUAGGUAGAGAUAUAGAUGGGUAGAAGAGCUGGUAUAUAUAAAUAGAUGAUAGGUAGAGAUAUAUAGAUGGGUAGAAGAGCUGGGAUAUAUAAAUAGAAGAUAGGUAGAGAUAUAGAUGGGUAGAAGAGCUGGUAUAUAUAAAUAGAUGAUAGGUAGAUAUAUAGAUGGGUAGAAGAGCUGGUAUAUAUAAAUAGAAGAUAGGUAGAGAUAUAGAUGGUUAGAAGAGCUGGUAUAUAUAAAUAGAUGAUAGGUAGAGAUAUAGAUGGUUAGAAGAGCUGGUGUAUAUAAAUAGAUGAUAGGUAGAGAUAUAGAUGGGUAGAAGAGCUGGUAUAUAUAAAUAGAUGAUAGGUAGAGAUAUAGAUGGCUAGAAGAGCUGGUAUAUAUAAAUAGAUGAUAGGUAGAGAUAUAGAUGGUUAGAAGAGCUGGUAUAUAUAAAUAGAAGAUAGGUAGAGAUAUAGAUGGUUAGAAGAGCUGGUGUAUAUAAAUAGAUGAUAGGUAGAGAUAUAGAUGGCUAGAAGAGCUGGUAUGUAUAAAUAGAAGAUAGAGAUAUAGAUGGGUAGAAGAGCUGGGAUAUAUAAAUAGAAGAUAGGUAGAGAUAAAGAUGGCUAGAAGAGCUGGUAUAUAUAAAUAGAUGAUAGGUAGAGAUAUAGAUGGUUAGAAGAGCUGGUGUAUAUAAAUAGAUGAUAGGUAGAGAUAUAGAUGGGUAGAAGAGCUGGUAUAUAUAAAUAGAUGAUAGGUAGAGAUAUAGAUGGCUAGAAGAGCUGGUAUAUAUAAAUAGAUGAUAGGUAGAGAUAUAGAUGGUUAGAAGAGCUGGUAUAUAUAAAUAGAUGAUAGGUAGAGAUAUAGAUGGUUAGAAGAGCUGGUGUAUAUAAAUAGAUGAUAGGUAGAGAUAUAGAUGGCUAGAAGGGCUGGUAUAUAUAAAUAGAUGAUAGGUAGAGAUAUAGAUGGGUAGAAGAGCUGGUAUAUAUAAAUAGAUGAUAGGUAGAGAUAUAGAUGGUUAGAAGGGCUGGUAUAUAUAAAUAGAAGAUAGGUAGAGAUAUAGAUGGCUAGAAGAGCUGGUAUAUAUAAAUAGAUGAUAGGUAGAGAUAUAGAUGGGUAGAAGAGCUGGUAUAUAUAAAUAGAUGAUAGGUAGAGAUAUAGAUGGUUAGAAGAGCUGGUAUAUAUAAAUAGAAGAUAGGUAGAGAUAUAGAUGGCUAGAAGAGCUGGUAUAUAUAAAUAGAUGAUAGGUAGAGAUAUAGAUGGUUAGAAGAGCUGGGAUAUAUAAAUAGAUGAUAGGUAGAGAUAUAGAUGGUUAGAAGAGCUGGGAUAUAUAAAUAGAUGAUAGGUAGAGAUAAUGAUGGUUAGAAGAGCUGGGAUAUAUAAAUAGAUGAUAGGUAGAGAUAUAGAUGGGUAGAAGAGCUGGUGUAUAUAAAUAGAUGAUAGGUAGAGAUAUAGAUGGGUAGAAGGGCUGGUAUAUAUAAAUAAGAUAGGUAGAGAUAUAGAUGGUUAGAAGAGCUGGUAUAUAUAAAUAGAUGAUAGGUAGAGAUAUAGAUGGUUAGAAGAGCUGGUAUAUAUAAAUAGAUGAUAGGUAGAGAUAUAGAUGGGUAGAAGAGCUGGUGUAUAUAAAUAGAUGAUAGGUAGAGAUAUAGAUGGGUAGAAGAGCUGGUGUAUAUAAAUAGAAGAUAGGUAGAGAUAUAGAUGGUUAGAAGAGCUGGUGUAUAUAAAUAGAUGAUAGGUAGAGAUAUAGAUGGCUAGAAGAGCUGGUAUAUAUAAAUAGAUGAUAGGUAGAGAUAUAGAUGGGUAGAAGAGCUGGUGUAUAUAAAUAGAAGAUAGGUAGAGAUAUAGAUGGUUAGAAGAGCUGGUGUAUAUAAAUAGAUGAUAGGUAGAGAUAUAGAUGGGUAGAAGAGCUGGUAUAUAUAAAUAGAUGAUAGGUAGAGAUAUAGAUGGCUAGAAGAGCUGGUAUAUAUAAAUAGAAGAUAGAGAUAUAGAUGGGUAGAAGAGCUGGGAUAUAUAAAUAGAAGAUAGGUAGAGAUAAAGAUGGCUAGAAGAGCUGGUAUAUAUAAAUAGAUGAUAGGUAGAGAUAUAGAUGGUUAGAAGAGCUGGUGUAUAUAAAUAGAUGAUAGGUAGAGAUAUAGAUGGGUAGAAGAGCUGGUAUAUAUAAAUAGAUGAUAGGUAGAGAUAUAGAUGGCUAGAAGAGCUGGUAUAUAUAAAUAGAUGAUAGGUAGAGAUAUAGAUGGGUAGAAGAGCUGGUAUAUAUAAAUAGAUGAUAGGUAGAGAUAUAGAUGGGUAGAAGAGCUGGUAUAUAUAAAUAGAUGAUAGGUAGAGAUAUAGAUGGGUAGAAGAGCUGGUAUAUAUAAAUAGAUGAUAGGUAGAGAUAAAGAUGGUUAGAAGAGCUGGGAUAUAUAAAUAGAUGAUAGGUAGAGAUAUAGAUGGGUAGAAGAGCUGGUAUAUAUAAAUAGAUGAUAGGUAGAGAUAAAGAUGGGUAGAAGAGCUGGUGUAUAUAUAAAUAGAUGAUAGGUAGAGAUAUAGAUGGGUAGAAGAGCUGGUAUAUAUAAAUAGAUGAUAGGUAGAGAUAUAGAUGGGUAGAAGAGCUGGUAUAUAUAAAUAGAAGAUAGGUAGAGAUAUAGAUGGCUAGAAGAGCUGGGAUAUAUAAAUAGAUGAUAGGUAGAGAUAUAGAUGGUUAGAAGAGCUGGUAUAUGUAAAUAGAUGAUAGGUAGAGAUAUAGAUGGUUAGAAGAGCUGGUAUAUAUAAAUAGAUGAUAGGUAGAGAUAAAGAUGGUUAGAAGAGCUGGUAUAUAUAAAUAGAUGAUAGGUAGAGAUAAUGAUGGUUAGAAGAGCUGGUAUAUAUAAAUAGAUGAUAGGUAGAGAUAUAGAUGGGUAGAAGAGCUGGUAUAUAUAAAUAGAAGAUAGGUAGAGAUAUAGAUGGGUAGAAGAGCUGGGAUAUAUAAAUAGAUGAUAGGUAGAGAUAUAGAUGGUUAGAAGAGCUGGUAUAUAUAAAUAGAUGAUAGGUAGAGAUAUAGAUGGGUAGAAGAGCUGGUAUAUAUAAAUAGAUGAUAGGUAGAGAUAUAUAGAUGGGUAGAAGAGCUGGUAUAUAUAAAUAGAUGAUAGGUAGAGAUAUAUAGAUGGGUAGAAGAGCUGGGAUAUAUAAAUAGAAGAUAGGUAGAGAUAUAGAUGGGUAGAAGAGCUGGUAUAUAUAAAUAGAUGAUAGGUAGAUAUAUAGAUGGGUAGAAGAGCUGGUAUAUAUAAAUAGAAGAUAGGUAGAGAUAUAGAUGGUUAGAAGAGCUGGUAUAUAUAAAUAGAUGAUAGGUAGAGAUAUAGAUGGUUAGAAGAGCUGGUAUAUAUAAAUAGAAGAUAGGUAGAGAUAUAGAUGGUUAGAAGAGCUGGUAUAUAUAAAUAGAUGAUAGGUAGAGAUAUAGAUGGUUAGAAGAGCUGGUGUAUAUAAAUAGAUGAUAGGUAGAGAUAUAGAUGGCUAGAAGAGCUGGUAUGUAUAAAUAGAAGAUAGGUAGAGAUAUAGAUGGGUAGAAGAGCUGGGAUAUAUAAAUAGAAGAUAGGUAGAGAUAAAGAUGGCUAGAAGAGCUGGUAUAUAUAAAUAGAUGAUAGGUAGAGAUAUAGAUGGUUAGAAGAGCUGGUGUAUAUAAAUAGAUGAUAGGUAGAGAUAUAGAUGGGUAGAAGAGCUGGUAUAUAUAAAUAGAUGAUAGGUAGAGAUAUAGAUGGCUAGAAGAGCUGGUAUAUAUAAAUAGAUGAUAGGUAGAGAUAUAGAUGGCUAGAAGAGCUGGUAUAUAUAAAUAGAUGAUAGGUAGAGAUAUAGAUGGGUAGAAGAGCUGGUAUAUAUAAAUAGAUGAUAGGUAGAGAUAUAGAUGGGUAGAAGAGCUGGUAUAUAUAAAUAGAUGAUAGGUAGAGAUAAAGAUGGUUAGAAGAGCUGGGAUAUAUAAAUAGAUGAUAGGUAGAGAUAUAGAUGGGUAGAAGAGCUGGUAUAUAUAAAUAGAUGAUAGGUAGAGAUAAAGAUGGGUAGAAGAGCUGGUGUAUAUAUAAAUAGAUGAUAGGUAGAGAUAUAGAUGGGUAGAAGAGCUGGUAUAUAUAAAUAGAUGAUAGGUAGAGAUAUAGAUGGGUAGAAGAGCUGGUAUAUAUAAAUAGAAGAUAGGUAGAGAUAUAGAUGGCUAGAAGAGCUGGGAUAUAUAAAUAGAUGAUAGGUAGAGAUAUAGAUGGUUAGAAGAGCUGGUAUAUAUAAAUAGAUGAUAGGUAGAGAUAUAGAUGGUUAGAAGAGCUGGUAUAUAUAAAUAGAUGAUAGGUAGAGAUAAAGAUGGUUAGAAGAGCUGGUAUAUAUAAAUAGAUGAUAGGUAGAGAUAAUGAUGGUUAGAAGAGCUGGUAUAUAUAAAUAGAUGAUAGGUAGAGAUAUAGAUGGGUAGAAGAGCUGGUAUAUAUAAAUAGAAGAUAGGUAGAGAUAUAGAUGGGUAGAAGAGCUGGGAUAUAUAAAUAGAUGAUAGGUAGAGAUAAAGAUGGGUAGAAGAGCUGGUAUAUAUAAAUAGAUGAUAGGUAGAGAUAUAGAUGGGUAGAAGAGCUGGUGUAUAUAAAUAGAUGAUAGGUAGAGAUAUAGAUGGGUAGAAGAGCUGGUAUAUAUAA